Molecule: long non-coding RNA, 191 nt
Organism: Carassius carassius (crucian carp)
Lineage: Eukaryota; Metazoa; Chordata; Actinopteri; Cypriniformes; Cyprinidae
Exons: 3
Source: RefSeq, a predicted model, not a curated record
GUUUUUUUUUUCUCGACAGUGCAAUCGCUCUGGCAGCUGCUUAGGUGGCUCCAAACUGGUCAGUUCGACCUCUCCUGCUUCAUCUUCGAGAAGUCUUUAAGUCAUUCGGUGGCUUUUUUUCCCGACAGUAUCAUGACUUAGGGUGAUGCAGUGCAAGAUAUGCAGAUUUGAACACCCUGCCCAGGAGGUCC